This 402-nucleotide ribosomal RNA is filed under the name bacterium. RNAcentral's name for it is "partial 16S ribosomal RNA". It matches the Rfam family "Bacterial small subunit ribosomal RNA", at positions 355 to 776 of the family's 1533-position model. The record is from RNAcentral.
UGGGGAAUUUUGCACAAUGGGGGAAACCCUGAUGCAGCGACGCCGCGUGAUUUAGAAGGCCUUCGGGUUGUAAAAAUCUUUUCUAUGGGAAGAAAAUGACAGUACCAUAGGAAUAAGGACCGGCUAAUUACGUGCCAGCAGCCGCGGUAAUACGUAAGGUCCGAGCGUUGUCCGGAAUCAUUGGGCGUAAAGGGUACGUAGGCGGGUAAGCAAGUUAGAAGUGAAAUCCUAUAGCUCAACUAUAGUAAGCUUUUAAAACUGCUCAUCUUGAGGUAUGGAAGGGAAAGUGGAAUUCCUAGUGUAGCGGUGAAAUGCGCAGAUAUUAGGAGGAAUACCGGUGGCGAAGGCGACUUUCUGGCCAUAACCUGACGCUGAGGUACGAAAGCGAGGGUAGCAAACAGG